UUUUUAAAUAGUACACACGUAUAAGGUACUUACCAUAACUGGAACUUGCAGGACUGAAAGUUGCUACGGGUGUCAGUGAAUGAGUGGUGAGUAA
This is a long non-coding RNA of Sapajus apella (tufted capuchin), 94 nucleotides long. RefSeq lists it as uncharacterized. NCBI's taxonomy places the organism in Eukaryota, Metazoa, Chordata, Mammalia, Primates, Cebidae. The transcript is spliced from 3 exons. The record is from RefSeq and is a predicted model, not a curated record.